RNAcentral lists this unclassified non-coding RNA (259 nucleotides) under air metagenome. RNAcentral describes it as "partial contains small subunit ribosomal RNA, internal transcribed spacer 1, and 5.8S ribosomal RNA". The stretch from base 1 to 46 matches the Rfam family "Eukaryotic small subunit ribosomal RNA", at positions 1786 to 1831 of the family's 1831-position model. The record is from RNAcentral.
AAGUCGUAACAAGGUUUCCGUAGGUGAACCUGCGGAAGGAUCAUUACACUCAGUAGUUUACUACUGUAAAGGGGGCUGUUAGUCUGUAUAGCGCAAGCUGAUGAGCAGCUGGCCUCUUUUAUCACCCUUGUCUUUUGCGUACCUACGUUUCCUCGGUAGGCUUGCCUGCCGAUUGGACAAACCUAUAACCUUUUAAAUUUCAAUCAGCGUCUGAAAAACUUAAUAAUUACAACUUUCAACAACGGAUCUCUUGGUUCUG